ACAAAUGCUGAUUUAAAUGGAAGAAAGGCCAAGAACUCAAAUUUAAGCUAUGAUUCAGGUAAACAUUAGCAGUAGUUAUUAAGAACCCUGCACUCCAUUAAUCCUUAACCUAACUAAUACUUAUUGAGCUUCUGCCACAUGCCAGGCACUCUGCUAAUUAACAAACAUGCAAAGUAGAAAAGCCGUGGUCCAUACCCUGGAUUUUACAUUCUAGUGGAGAACAGUCAUGCCAAUAAUCACAACCCAGCAUGGUAAGUAUAAUAAUAGAGGUGUGUAUAAUGUCCAGUGGAGACACAGGGAAGCCAGGAAGCUUUAACAGAAGAGGCUACAAUUGAGCUGAGAUGUGAAUUUUCUAAACAGACAAAUGGAAAGAGAACCUUCCAGGAAAAGGGAAUACAUUUACAUUUGUCAAAAUACAGACAUGAGAGCAUACUGUGUCUGUGGAAAUACAAAUGUUCUCAGAAUUGCUUUAGCUAAAAGUUCAAGUUAGAAAAUUGCAGAAUAUGAAGCUUGACAGGUAGAGAAGGGCUGGGUCAUUAAAAUUCUGAUAGGCCAUGGCAAGAAAUCUACCUAUAAUCUCUAAUAGGAUAAAACUAUCAUCAAAGGGCAACACUUGAAGGGUAUUGACAGAGGCAUAGUAUCAGAAUUUGCCUUUUCUAAAAAAGAGAAAGCAGAAUUAGAGGUGAAGAGACUGGAAGCAGUAAGAAAACUAAAAUAACAGCAUUUAUUGAACGCUUGCCUUAUGCCAGGUACUAUGCUGAACUCUGUAUUCUCUCAUUUAACCCUCCCACCGAUUUAAUGAGGUCAGAACUAUUUUUAUCUACCAUUUUACAUAUAAGUAAGCUAAGUCUCAGAGUGGUAAAUUAUCUUGCCUAAGGUUUCAUAUAGUAUGUGGCAAAGGCAGGGUCUUAACCCAGGUCUGUCUUCUUAGUAAAUCCACAAUACCAUGCUGUCUCUUAUGACAAUUAAAGAGGCUAUUCUAAUAGUCAAGGCUAGAAACAAAUCCUGAAAAAAGUCACUGGCAGUGAGAAUGAAGAGCUGGGUACAGAUUAGACUCAAACUAAGGAGGCUGAAUGGAUGAGAUUUGGUUACUGAUUAAUAUGGGAGAUGACAUAACUGAUGACAACUCCCAGAUUUCUAGACUGGGCAACUAAAUGGAUAGUGAAAAGCGUUGCCAUUCAGUAGAUAGGCAAUACAGAAAGAUGAACAAGUUUGGAAGAGAGAAAAUUAGUUCUGCUUUGAAUAUAUUGAGUUUGAGGUGCCUGUAGGUAUCCAGGUGGGACGUGUAAGUCGAACAGUCAAGCAGUCAGUUAUAGAUUCUCAUGGGAGAAGCAAUGAAAAGAACACCUUUUAUCAGAACUUAUAGGAAAUAACAAAAGCUAUUCCCACAGGUUUUGAUAGUGUUCUUUUUUGAGCUAGAUUAUACUUUCUCAUUUUAAUUCCUUCUUUGAUCUAAGAGCUAUCCAUAAGAAUAUUUCUUAAUCAUCAAGAAAUUAAUAUUUUGGGUCACAUUUUAAAAAUUAGGUUCACAGAAUACAGCCUGUAAAUCUUCAACACAUUGAAAUUGUUAAGGAUUUCUUUGUGACCAAAUAUGUGAUUGAUGGAAAGUGUUUCAUGGACAUAUCAAAAAUAUUCUCUAUUCGAAGGAUAUAGACUCUAAAAUGAAUAUUAAAUUACAUUUAUUGAUUAUAUUAUUCAAUUUUUAUGUCUUUACUGAUUUUUUUUGUCUACUGGACUCUUUUCUUACUGCCUCCUAAAUGUGCCCAGCUAUCAAAGAGGUGUAUUGAAAUUCUACAUUAUAGUUGUACUUUUAUCAAAUUCCCAUUGCAUUUCUAAUAGGCUUUACACAGUUAGGCUCUUGAGGAUAUUUAAUCCACCAUAUUGCUAGGAAAGAAAGAAGAGUUUCUUAUUUUUUUAACAGUUGUCUAUGAGUUAUCAAUUAAUUAAUAAUAAUUAGUUAUCCAUUCCUGAGUAACAAAUCACCGCAAAACUUGGCAUCUUAAAAAAAAACAUUAUUACUUACCAGUUUCUGUGGUUAGCAAUAUAGGAGCAACUUAGCUGGGUAGUUGUGACUCAGGGUGUCUCAUGAGGUUAUGGUCAAGAUGUUAGCCAGGGCUGCUGCAGUCAUCCAAACACUUGACUGGGACAGGAGGAUUCAUUUCCAAGGUGGCUCACUCAUAAUGGCUGUUGGCAGGAUAUCUUAGUUUCUCACCAUAUGGGCCUCUCUGUAGGGCUUCUUGAGUAUCUUCAUGAUAUGGCAUCUGGCUUCGCCCAGAGUGAGUGAUCCAAGAGAGGGACUGAAGCCACAAUAUAUUUUAUAACCUAGUCUCAGAAGUUAGGCACCUUCACUUCCACCAUAUACUUUGCAUUAGAAGUAAGUCACUGAUUCCAGUCCACACUCAAGGAGAAGAGAAUUACCUUCCACCUCUUGGGGGGAGUAUUCUCAAAGAAUUUGUAGACAUAUUUCAAAACCACCACCACCGUAUUAUCUUUAUACUUAAUUUUUCAGGUUUGUGCACUAUUAAUUCCAGCUCCUUCCUUUCCAAAACUGUACACAUGCAAAAACUUACUCAUACACAAUAAUCUCAAGACGGUACAUAGAAUUCAAGUAAAACUUCUUAAGUAGAUCAUUGGAAUUUAUUGGUUACUCUUCACUUCACAUUUAUUGGGAGAAAAAUAAAUAGCAAUUCACCUUGACUUUGAACCAGCCCUAAUUUGUAAUAGUACCUUCUAUUAUUCAGAGCAUUCUGUUGAGUCAUGUAUGUGCAUAAUUUAAUAACACCAUCCCAGUAUUCCUGUGGACAUACUCUACAUGAAGACCUGCUUUAGUAUGAUUAUCCAGAAAUAUUUACCAAAAUCCACUUAUUGAACUUUUCUAGGUGACAUACAGAGCAUGUUGGACAGUAUUUGCGUGGGAAUAGAUUAAUGACAGGCAGACUAGUGAGCAAACAUUGAGCCGACACAUGUGUUAAAUAAUUAAUUCAACAAAUAAAUGUUAUUGCAUGUUGGCUAUAUGCCAGGCACUGUCAGCUAGUAAUCACAAUACAGCAUAGAAAGUCCUAGAAUGGAAGGAUGUCUAGAGUGCUCUGGGAGCAUUAUGGAGGAUGCCUGUCUACAUAGGCAGAUUUCAAGGAAGGCUCUCUGACGGAGGUGACAUGAGCUGAGUGAGUCCUAAAGGAUGAGAAAUCUAAAAGAGGGACACUAAAGUUACAAAGGAAAUAGUAAGGGAGAAAGGCAAAGGGAAUUGCAUGGUGUUCACUAUCUCUAGAACAUAGAAUAUAUGUGGAAUGGUGACCAGAGGUAAAGCUGUGAAGUAAGCAGUGAUCCCAGAUCUUAAGGUAUAUUUUAGGCCUCCCAGGGAGUCCCUGGAAGGUUUAAACAGAGCAGUGACAGCAGGAAAUAAAGACCUAUUAAGGUCUGUUAAUUAUCAUUUUACCUGUAGCUUGUGUAGGAUACCGAUAACUAAUAAUUUUCUUUUUCUCUCUGAAAAUCCACCCGCAGCUCUUGGAAUCUUCCCUUCUCAUGAUUCACCAAUUAAACAACAAAACCACUAUCAAAAUCACUGUCAACAACAGCUUUAGAGGAACAGUGGAAAUUGCUCAAGUUAGUGUUAGACUUCAGGUGCCCAUUAACUUGCAAGUCAUGGCUGGAGUCACUAGAGGGCGCACUUCAAUCAAAGACCGUAGAAAGCUCUGACUAUAAAGUAUCCUAACAUUUUUUGAAAUCUAAGAAACAAAAAUUCAAAUAAAAGUCCAUACAUCUUUUAAGACACCAGGAUUGUAUCGUGGCUGCUCAUCACUUAAAAUAGUACAAUGGUGUCUGUUUUUGUAAAAAUGAUAAAUUAUUAUAAAAUAUUCAAAUAAUUGAGAAAAGUGAAAAGAAAUGGAAAAGAACUCCGCAAAUAACCAUCAUUAGCACUACGUGAAC
This is a long non-coding RNA of Manis pentadactyla (Chinese pangolin), 3927 nucleotides long. RefSeq lists it as uncharacterized. The transcript has 4 exons. Lineage: Eukaryota; Metazoa; Chordata; Mammalia; Pholidota; Manidae. The record is from RefSeq and is a predicted model, not a curated record.